Molecule: long non-coding RNA, 1013 nt
Filed under: Calidris pygmaea (Spoon-billed sandpiper)
Lineage: Eukaryota; Metazoa; Chordata; Aves; Charadriiformes; Scolopacidae
Description: lncRNA (ENSCPGG00000006685.1)
Source: RNAcentral
UGUACCGGAUUUGCAGCUGUUAGACUGAAAAGAUGUAGAUGAAGACUGAAAAGCAUCCUUGUCCUAGGAAUAUUGUACACCAAGUACACAAGGGAAGAGGACGAGAAGAGAGAAUAUGGAAGUCAUCACUUCUGCAUACAGACUGUUUGAAUUUAUCUUAAGCUUUAAGCCUCUAGGAAGAAUAGACUCUACCAAUAGUUUAUUGUAAAUGUAUCCUAAUUCAGGAUUCAGAUUAAAGUAGGUUAAUCCAACAAGCCACUAAAAUCAAAAGGCAGAAUGGAAAAUUGAUUGUUGAAUUAUGACUGUCACAUCAGCUCUAGUUUAACAUGGUGACAUCAAGAUAAGUCAGUGUCUACCCAUACAUGAGUUCAUCAGCGUGACAAGACGGUUCGAAUAGUGAGACUCCCAAUUCCUAAAGGUGAAACACAACUGAAUUAUAACCUACUGAGAGGUUGGUUGGAAGGCACCCAUGGGUGAACUAAACCAGUGCUUUCCUAAAACAAACCGGAAAUUCACUGUUUUGUAGUUCAGAGAAAAGCCUAACUGUGAGAAAAUAUGAAAUCCUACUUGAGGAUGAAAACUGAACUGAAGAAGAAAUUUGUAAAAGCAGGUAGGCUGCUUGGUAUGAACCUGAAUUUGUUAAUAAACAGAAUGUACUCGCAACAUUUGGCUGGUUUACAGGAUCCUCAAAAGUUUUGGAAGCGGAUCAAAGUUUUGCUGGGCGGCUGGGAUUUUUCCCUCUCCCCUCCACAAUACAGCAGAUGAGGAAGCUUUUAGAGAGAAGUGAUCUGGAAAACAUGCUGAAAAGUGGGGGUCCUCAGCUCCCUGUGCCAUGGGAGGAGAAGGUGGAGGCCCCAAGGGGGGCCGUGGCGCUGCUGUCUGAGGUGCUGAAGCUGGAGGGCACCGAGGAGGACCGACCCCCCCACCACGCGUCCCCUCUGCUCCCCCCUCACACCAGGCAAAAAAGUUCAAUUGUGGCUAUAAAAAGUAUUCCUGAAGCAAGUCAUGGGUAG